Molecule: long non-coding RNA, 296 nt
Filed under: Ananas comosus (pineapple)
Lineage: Eukaryota; Viridiplantae; Streptophyta; Magnoliopsida; Poales; Bromeliaceae
Description: long non-coding RNA (ACOM_LNC011799)
Source: RNAcentral
UUAACCUGAUCAACGAUACAGCUUAAUUUAUACUAAUAGCUUAAAAAUCGGUAUCAGCACAAAUACCGAUUCCAACAAUUAAUAUUAGAGCAAGUGGCAAAGGAUUUGGUGGUUAGUAUCCGAGGUCCUAAGUUUGAAUCCUAGUUGAUUCACAUGUCAGGCUAAGUUUAUUUCUAAAUGAAAUAAACGAAGCGAAUAUAGCGUACUAUCUAUCUCUCAAAAAAAAUAAUAAUUAAUAUCAGAGCAAAUCACGCUUCCAACACGGUUGAAUUUGAAAACAAGGAAUGCUUAUUAAU